This is a long non-coding RNA of Nerophis ophidion (straightnose pipefish), 1412 nucleotides long. RefSeq lists it as uncharacterized. The record is from RefSeq and is a predicted model, not a curated record. The transcript has 2 exons. NCBI's taxonomy places the organism in Eukaryota, Metazoa, Chordata, Actinopteri, Syngnathiformes, Syngnathidae.
AGGAAGUGCUGCGCACUUCACUCGUCUCUCAUGUCUGCUGUGGCUGCUGCGUGCUGUGAGACGCACUGGAGACAAACUCGCAAAAUCUUCACAUUCUCCCACUUUGCAAACAUCAUAAUUAGCCAACCUGUUCUAUUAACUAUCGGGCUGUGCAGGUGUGGUGUGUUACCCUCGAUUGCUCAGGUAAUUACUGUAACAAACAGUUCAGGGUGUCCCUCCAGUUUUGCCGUAAGGCUGUGACGUAAGAGGUCUAUAUAAAGGUGAGUUGUUGAAGAAGGUGAGAUAUGGGUAUGGAGAUAGGUGUAAAGAAGGGAACAAUAAAGUGGUGGAGACCGGACCUGCUCUCAUGACUCCCUUUUAUUAUUUUAUUUUAUCAGUACCCAAAUUACGCGAACCCAGGACACUCGGCUACAUUGGUGGCAGCGGUGGGAUUAUUUUAACUGCUGUGUUGAAAAAAAAAAGAAGAAGAAAGUUUUACACGGGACACGUGAGUUUCGAGUUAGCUGCUAAGCUUCCCGGCCAUUUUUCGGACACGUGGUGUGGUGACCACGAUUCUUUUCAAGCCCGGAGGCGCUGUUUGACGGACACUCACACGGCAUGAAUGUCGAAAGUGGAGUUUUUGUUUAACCGCUCCUUUCACCGACGGAGGGAGCCGACUGCACCAGGAGCUGGUGAGGAUUUUCGGAUCCUCCCAACUCGUCCCGUGGGAGACUGGGGGCACGUUUUAAACAAAGACAAUUAAUGGACCGGUUCGGGGCCAACCUGUCGGCGAGUGUGCGUGCUCCGGGGGAGAGCGUGGAGGUGUUUGCUGCGGGCGUGGCCCGGCUGGUUGCGGAGGCGUUCCCGCGGUCUUGCUGCUGGCCCUUCGCGCUGAGAGACAGCCGACGGUGGCGUGAGAAGUACAGAGCGUGUCGGACCCCUCGGUGCCCUUAACGUCCCCGUGGGCGGGUCCCAGGUUUGUCGGCCCACCCGGAGGGUGGUCAUGGACGUUCUGCAUGUGGCCCGGAGGUUCCCAUGGGGGCUGUGAGGGCCCCAGGGUGUUUCCCCUUCAAUUAGACUCUGUAUGUUGCUUGAAAAAAAAGGACGUGCACCACUGCCUAUAACCCCAAGUCUGAUGGCAUGAUGGAGCGUCAUAAACGAACUAUCUCACAAACGGACUAUCUUGCAGGGGGUCACUGGGGCGACCUCCUGCGCACAAUCGGACUAUCUUGCAGGGGGUGACUGGGGUAACCUCCUGCGCACCAUCGGACCAUCUCGCUGGGGGCGACCUCCUCCACAUAAUUGAACUAUCUUACAAAUGGGGCGAUUGGAGUGACAUCCUUCGCAUCUGGGAGUUUUUGCAUGUUUUGAGGGGCCAGUGUGUUAGCCUAUGCAAUACGGUGUAAAAAAAUAUAUUGUUGAUUUAUUGUGAA